GACGUAGGGCGCGAGCGUUGUCCGGAUUUAUUGGGCGUAAAGAGCUCGUAGGCGGCUCGUUGCGUCAAUCGUGAAAACCCGGGGCUUAACUUCGGGCUUGCGGUUGAUACGGGCGGGCUGGAGUUCGGUAGGGAAGACUGGAAUUCCUGGUGUAGCGGUGAAAUGCAUUGAGAUCGGAAAGAACACCAACGGCGAAAGCACUCUGCUGGGCCGACACUGACACUGAGAGACGAAAGCUAGGGGAGCAAAUGGG
Molecule: ribosomal RNA, 253 nt
Filed under: uncultured bacterium
Lineage: Bacteria
Description: partial 16S ribosomal RNA
Rfam family: Bacterial small subunit ribosomal RNA
Source: RNAcentral